GAUUGCUUAGAAACUAGCGGUUAAAGAUGGAGUCUAGGGAACAGUCGAGAGUCACGCAAAUGUUAGAGGUGCCCUUGGCCUCAUGAGUGGUCGGUAGAAGGCGGCUGCAAGGAGCCUUUGAAAUGGUGCCGAGUUCUUCCUCUGCCAGAAAGCCUUUCCUCCGCGCUGACUGUGUCAAAGGCUACUCCCAGAUCUGUGGAAAGCUGAAUAAAUGAACAGGGCCAUUUGACAGAGUGUAACCCACACCAGACCUGUUGUGCAAUGCCUUGAACAUUCACAGGGAGAUCAAGUAUUUUGCCCAAGAGCACACAGCUAGAGAGUGGAGAAGUCCGGAUUCAACCCAGACAGAUUGACUCCAGAGCGUGUGCUAUUCGUGGCUAUGCCAGAAUGCCCUGAUGGCCUCAGGUUUGCCUUGCCAACUGACAAAGGCGACUGUUUCCUACCCAUUGGCUCAGAUGGUUCCAGCUUCCUACCCUUCCAGUUAAAAUAAACAAAAACGAGGGUCUUGAGUGUCUAUGAUUUUCAUAAGAUCUAUGGCGUUUCUUCUGCAGAUGAUCAACAGUUGCCUGCCUUGGACUUUGGAGUUCCCAAGAACUAGAAAAUCCAGGUCAGGAACUGUAUCUUUGCUCAGCCACCUGCAAACAGACUUGAGAACAAUGUAAACCACCCUCUGCAGGAUAUUGAUUCUGAUGGAGUAAAUGUUGAUUAAGCAGAAUGGUGUUUUUUUUUUUAACUGGAGGAAUUCCAGAUCUUUCCUUAGGCCUGUCUCUCCAGGGAAAUGAGCUCUAGCCUUAAAAAUCUACAGAAAACCUGAGUAAGAAUGAAGAUUUAUGAUGGGAGACGCUGGGCGGAAGACGGCUGGCUAUCUGGUGGGCUAUCUAGAAGCUCAUCUUUGUGUUAUUAGAGAAACACUCCCGCUCUUGACAGGAUAUGGUCUGCUUAUCACAUAAUCUUCUCAAGUUUCAUUCCCAUUCUGCUUACAAAUGCCCCAAAUAUAAAGAGAUGCAUUUCAUCAAGACAGCCUUUUAAGAGGCAGUUGAUCCCAGCUGUUGCCGUCUAUCUUAAACACCUACCUUUUCACCCUAGUGUGGAGUUUACAUGUCGAUAAGCGAUGUAAAAAAGGGAACUUGAGAAAUCUCAGCAGAGGAAAAACACCGAGC
This 1160-nucleotide long non-coding RNA is filed under the name Homo sapiens (human). RNAcentral describes it as "HSALNT0347946". Lineage: Eukaryota; Metazoa; Chordata; Mammalia; Primates; Hominidae. The record is from RNAcentral.